This 2587-nucleotide long non-coding RNA is filed under the name Musa acuminata (dwarf banana). RNAcentral describes it as "long non-coding RNA (MACU_LNC000800)". Lineage: Eukaryota; Viridiplantae; Streptophyta; Magnoliopsida; Zingiberales; Musaceae. The record is from RNAcentral.
GAGUAGAGACUGGGCGUAGCGGUCGGCCAGGUAGAGGUAGCGGUGGUGGAGGUCGUGAAGGAGGGCGAUGAGUUGAGGCCGCUUCUGGUAGUAGUUCUCCGCCCGCUCAGCAAACGAGUCCGAUUCCGGGUCAUCCGGUAUAUUCACCGCAAGUGAUUGCACCCUUUGCUCUAUAUCUGCACUCGGUCCAACAAAAAAUUUUGUGAUUUAUAAGGUCAAAAAGAGACAUUUUUCUUGUGGGCGUCGAAAUAAGACGUUAUGAAGGAAAAAUGAACAUCUCCUCGUAAAUCUUUGCACAAUGCUUGCAGUAUGUGCCAUGGACAACACGUGUUUUGAUUUGGAACUAAACAGAGUAUGGUGUGUUUUCAAAGAAGAAUGAAAUAGAAAAAUAAGCUACAAGUCAUGCUGCAUCAAAAAUAUAAAAUGUUACUUUUAAUCUAAGAUGGUCAUAAUGGAUGCUACACUUGUCAUGGAUUGCAAUUUAACUUUAUAUACUUUUGUUGAAAAGAAGGCAGAUGUUAGGGGUAACAAACACUGCGAUGGGUCGCAAUAAUGAGUGUCCAACAUGUAGUAGAAAGUAUUGACAAGAGGACAGUGGAGAUUUAUAUACCUAUAUAACCUAUCAGGCUACCUUGCUUCCCCUUUAAAUUGCACUACUUUUUGACAACAAUGUCCCGAUGAAAUUUGACUUUUCCUAUACGUUUAAUUUAAAUUUCGAAUUCAAACUAAAAGAAGAUGACUGCAGCAAUCCAAAGAAACCGUAGACAAUUCGACCACUUUACUCCCCCUAGAAGAAACACUACACAGACAGCGACAUUACAGCUAUUUGAAGCUUAAAAGAGGAGAGAGAUGAAAAGAAGAGAUGUUUUCGCAUCUUAAUGCGUCUCAAUAAUUCGCCUGCAACUUGUCAAACAUUCAAGUACGUGAGUGUUGUUGUGUUCUUAUCCAACCUCUAUUCGAGAGAAGAAGAGCAGCGGCAGCGAGAAAAAGCUAAGGGGAACAGUGGCUGCUCACCUGCAAGCGCCGCUUGCAGCCAAGGCGGGCAUGUGGACGACCGACACGAGGCGUGAUAGCUCGCUGUCGUCGCAGUCAUCGUCGCCAUCGCGCUGAGAUGCGUAGCCACAGAGACCGCUUUGUUGUGGCCCUUCGUACCACUGCCAUCAAACAAAACAAGAAAACAUUGCAGGCCUCCUCCAUCAAUCGAGCGCGACAAGAGAUCAGCCAAACAGAACAGUCACAGUGCAGUAAAGAGUAAAAGAAUACAAGAAGGCUUGGGAACCGAACGAGAGCAUGUCGCGAGGCCCGAGGUUUUACAUCAUGUUCCUCUCAUCGUCAAAGGUAAAAGAAAAAGAAACCCGCGUUAGAUCGCCAUGUGAACGUACGACGCUGCGCUGGUGAAUAAUGUUCGCCAGGAGGACAGCAAGCAGCCCCACGGCAGCGUGAGUUCUGAACUCUGUUUCAGAUGGUUGUCAAACAUGCACGGCCGUGAGGUGAAAAGCUUUGAUUCUGGAGACCGUAAAAAUGGCUGAAGGUGAUGGAAUCCGAUAAGGUCGAGAGCUUUUACUAUUAUCCUCGUGAUCUCGGCGACAGUAAAAAUAAUUAAAAACCGAUGAAAUCCCAUAAGUUAAAUCGAGAAAGUUGGAAAAUAAUAUCGUUUAAAGGAAAUAAAUCAGAGCCACCGGAAAAGCUUGGACUGCCUUAGCAGUUAACCAGCGAAAAUUUUGGAAUGCGAAACAGAGACCGGAAUGAAGCAGAGAAUCUCAGGUUGAUCGAAUGCGUUCGCUAAGAACUUCUAAGGAAACAUUCAUUUAUGCUGCACAAGCUAAUGGUUCUUUCCACCCUGAUCAUGAUCAUUAUUAGAACAUGCAAUACAAAAUGUUUAUGUAUUCCGUCUGCAAUUCCGAGAAAAGAGAAGGUUGGAUUUUUUUUCUCUUUAUCAGAAAUUCUGGCUGCUAAAAGCAUCAGAAAAUCUUACUUCAAGGGAAAAAAAAGACAAGUUUUGUGACAGCAUUGAUUAAGAAACAUCCAAGGAACAAUUCCCCUAUGAUAUAUCAGUAACCUUUUACCCUGGACAACUUGAUCUUUAUCGCUUUGAUCACCAAGAACAUACUGCCAUUCUUAAAAAGAGACGGUCGGAUUUUUUUUCUUUAGACUCUGUUUCUUUUGCAGAGCAACAAAAAAGAACAGGAAGAAUCGGGAUCUCAGUUUACAGGAAGAGAACUCCAGUUUUACUGGCCGCAUUAAUGAAGAACAUGCUAAGGAACUCUACGAGAUAACACAUUGUACUCGCUAUGCCACUGGAUUUUUCCUCCUCGAUCACCAAGAACACGAAUUGCAAAAUGUUCAUAAUCCCUACUGCCAUUCUAAGAAAAAACCCAAUCGAUUUCCCUAUCUUUUGCAAAACUAAAGCUUUCUGCCCGGUAAAUCGAGCAUCCAUGAAGAUAGAAAAACUAAGACGUAGAAAAGAAAUGGAGAAGAUGAUCUGAAAGGAAAGCAUACCUCUUCCGAGGAAAAGUCGCUGCUCGCCGGAGAAGCUCUGCGACGCUACCCGGGGAGCGACAUUAGUAUGAGAAGUGGCAGACCUGAG